CUGCGCAUCUGUUGUGUGUGUGCGUCUGUCUGUCUGUUCAGGUCUGUUUCAGACUACGUCUGCCUGUCUGUCCAGGUCUGUUUCAGGCUGUGUCUGUCUGUCUGUCCGGGUCUGUUUCAGGCUGUGUCUGUCUGUCUGUCCGGGUCUGUUUCAGGCUGUGUCUGUCUGUCUGUCCGGGUCUGUUUCAGGCUGUGUCUGUCUGUCUGUCUGGGUCUGUUUCAGGCUGUGUCUGUCUGUCUGUUUGUCUGGGUCUGUUUCAGGCUGUGUCUGUCUGUCCGGGUCUGUUUCAGGCUGUAUGUGUGUCUGCUCUUUGCUUCUGCUCCUGGCUCUGUGUGUAUUUCCCGGGUCCUGUGG
This 354-nucleotide long non-coding RNA is filed under the name Homo sapiens (human). RNAcentral's name for it is "HSALNT0395730". The record is from RNAcentral. Lineage: Eukaryota; Metazoa; Chordata; Mammalia; Primates; Hominidae.